This 1136-nucleotide long non-coding RNA is filed under the name Fukomys damarensis (Damara mole-rat). RNAcentral's name for it is "lncRNA (ENSFDAG00000033508.1)". Lineage: Eukaryota; Metazoa; Chordata; Mammalia; Rodentia; Bathyergidae. The record is from RNAcentral.
CUUCCAUUGUGAUGCAAUUUCCCUUCCAGCUGCCUCUGCAGUGCUCUGUCCCCACAGAGAAGCAGAUAAACACCUUCUGGCUCUUCACCAACAUCCGAGAGGAUCUGCUCCAGCUGACCCUGCUCCACAGAGAGACUGUCUGCACAUCCCUCUGUCCUCUGACGGAAUGAAGAGGGGGGUGGGUUAUGACAGGGAGUCAAGAAUCACAGCCAAUGUGGAAAGAGGCAGUGCUGCUGCUCCUCUUUGUCAGGCACGUAUGCCCAAAGCCCUCGGGUGUUGGCAUGAGCAUCCUGCACCAGGAUUUCCAAGUCAGUCAUCCCCAUGCCACCGAAAGCCCCUCUCGAAGCCUCCCAGCUUCAUGUCUUUCCAGAUCCAGCAAGUCCCACCAGGGGCCAAGGUGGAGGACACCCUUCCCUCUGAGACAAGAUUUCAGCCGUGUCGGACAUGCAGUAGUACCCCAGGCUCGCUCAGCCCCAACAUAGGCAAGAUCUGAGGUGCCUAGAUACGCAGCUUCUCCCUCCAGGGAACUCCUGGCUGCUUUGAUGUGGAACAGAGAUGACAAUGGCAGUACCUGGUGAGGAAGGAGCUUUAACACUGAUGUUUUAAAUGACAGCCAUUGUUCCCUGAUAAUUUUAUGAUCAAAGAAAAAGAAAGAGGCCUUUUAAGAAAGCGUGUAGCAUAUUUAAGAAGACCCAAAGGAUUGGAAAAGGGGCUCCAAAGACAAAAAACACAGAAUGAAGAGCGAAGUAACUCCAAAGAGAAGGCAGCUCAGUGCUGGUGUCUGCAACCUUGUUCCUUCCUCAAAGUACAGUUCAUCAAAAGCAACUUCUCAACAUAGCCAAGAGAGUCCUCAGAGUUUCACCCAAACGUCAGACAUCCAAGGCUGGGCCCAACAAACCUGGUGGUCCACUUCCCCACAACAGAGCAGACUGGUGGAAGCACAUCCUUCUCCCUCCGUCUGCCUCUCCUCUACCUCCUCCCUCACUUGGUACGUCUCCCCUCCUCAGCUAAAGAUGGGGAGAUGGAACUCAGCCAAGUAUGCCUGGUGUACUCUAUGCUGGGGUGCAGCUCAGGAGGAACCCAAACAGGCUUGGCCCCACACUGUCCUGCUGGGUCGACUACAUGCAAUCUCGUGA